This 1482-nucleotide ribosomal RNA is filed under the name uncultured Bordetella sp. Its description in RNAcentral is "partial 16S-23S ribosomal RNA intergenic spacer". It matches the Rfam family "Bacterial small subunit ribosomal RNA". The record is from RNAcentral. Lineage: Bacteria; Pseudomonadati; Pseudomonadota; Betaproteobacteria; Burkholderiales; Alcaligenaceae.
AGUUCGAUUAUGGCUCAGAUUGAACGCUGGCGGGAUGCUUUACACAUGCAAGUCGAACGGCAGCACGGACUUCGGUCUGGUGGCGAGUGGCGAACAGGUGGGGUAAUGUAUCGGAACGUGCCUAGUAGCGGGGGAUAACUACGCGAAAGCGUAGCUAAUACCGCAUACGCCCUUCGGGGAAAGCGGGGAGACCUUCGGGCCUCGCACUAUUAGAGCGGCCGAUAUCGGAUUAGCUAGUUGGUGGGGUAACGGCUCACCAAGGCGACGAUCCGUAGCUGUUUUUGAGAGGACGACCAGCCACACUGGGACUGAGACCUGGCCCAGACUCCUACGGGAAGCAGCAGUGGGAAUUUUGGACAGUAAAACCCUGAUCCAGCCAUCCGCGUGUGCGAUGAAGGCCUUCCAGGUUGUAUAUAACACUUUUUGGCAAGGAAAGAAACGGCCUGGGAUAAUACCCCGUGCAACUGACGGUACCUGCAGAAUAAGCACCGGCUAACUACGUGCCAGCAGCCGCGGUAAUACGUAGGGUGCAAGCGUUAAUCGGAAUUACUGGGCGUAAAGCGUGCGCAGGCGGUUCGGAAGAAAGAUGUGAAAUCCCAGGCUUAACUUUGGAACUGCAUUUUAACUACCGAGCUAGAGUGUGUCAGAGGGAGGUGGAAUUCCGCGUGUAGCAGUGAAAUGCGUAGAUAUGCGGAGGAACACCGAUAGCGAAGGCAGCCUCCUGGGAUAACACUGACGCUCAUGCACAGCGUAGAGGGCAAACAGGAUUAGAUACCCUGGUAGUCCACGCCUAAACCAGUAUCAACUAAGCUGUUGGGGCCUUCGGGCCUUGGUAACAGCUGUUGCAUAACGCGUGAAGUUGACCGCCUGGGAAGUACGGUCGCAAGAUUAAAACUCAAAGGAAUUGACGGGGACCCGCACAAGCGGUGGAUGAUGUGGAUUAAUUCGAUGCAACGCGAAAAACCUUACCCUACCUUCCGGCAUGUCUGGAAUCCCGAAGAGAUUUGGGAGUGCUCGCAAGAACCGGAACACAGGUGCUGCAUGGCUGUCGUCAGCUCGUGUCGUGAGAUGUUGGGUUAAGUCCAUAACGAGCGCAACCCUUGUCAUUAGAUUUGCUACGAAGGGCACUCUAAAUGAGACUGCCGGUGACAAACCGGAGGGAAGGUGGGGAUGACGUCAAAGUCCUCGUGGCCCCGCUUAUGGGUAGGGAACUACUUACGUCAUACAAUGGUCGGGACAGAGGUCGCCAACCCGCGAGGGGAGCCAAUCCCAGAAACCCGAUCGUAGUCCGGAUCGCAGUCUGCAACUCGACUGCGUGAAGUCGAGAUCGCUAGUAAUCGCGGAUCAGCAUGUCGCGGUGAAUACGUUCCCGGGUCUUGUACACACCGCCCGUCACACCAUGGGAGUGGGUUUUGCAGAAGUAGUUAGCCUAACCCGUAAGGGAGGGCGAUUACCACGGUAGGAUUCAUGACUGGGGUGAAA